AGCGAUGAAUAAGGCGUUGUGCCGACAAGCAGUGUCUUAGGAGCUUUACAAGGGUUUGACAUUUACCACAAGUCGGAUAGGGAACCCGAAAGAAAAUGU
This 99-nucleotide small RNA is filed under the name Treponema berlinense. RNAcentral's name for it is "drum RNA". It matches the Rfam family "drum RNA". From Rfam's summary of the family: Firmicutes, Bacteroidetes (1 example), Proteobacteria (2 examples), Spirochaetes (2 examples). Lineage: Bacteria; Pseudomonadati; Spirochaetota; Spirochaetia; Treponematales; Treponemataceae. The record is from RNAcentral.